Molecule: ribosomal RNA, 268 nt
Filed under: uncultured soil bacterium
Lineage: Bacteria
Description: partial 16S ribosomal RNA
Rfam family: Bacterial small subunit ribosomal RNA
Source: RNAcentral
AGAACGAACGCUGGCGGCAUGCCUAAUACAUGCAAGUCGAACGAACUCUUCGGAGUUAGUGGCGCACGGGUGCGUAACGCGUGGGAAUCUGCCCCUUGGUUCGGAAUAACAGUUGGAAACGACUGCUAAUACCGGAUGAUGACGAAAGUCCAAAGAUUUAUCGCCAAGGGAUGAGCCCGCGUAGGAUUAGCUAGUUGGNGAGGUAAAGGCUCACCAAGGCAACGAUCCUUAGCUGGUCUGAGAGGAUGAUCAGCCACACGUGGGACUG